Molecule: ribosomal RNA, 690 nt
Filed under: uncultured bacterium
Lineage: Bacteria
Description: bacterial SSU rRNA
Rfam family: Bacterial small subunit ribosomal RNA
Source: RNAcentral
CAUCUGAAAGAGAUUAAAGAUUUAUCGGUGAUGGAUGGGGAUGCGUCUGAUUAGCUUGUUGGCGGGGUAACGGCCCACCAAGGCGACGAUCAGUAGGGGUUCUGAGAGGAAGGUCCCCCACAUUGGAACUGAGACACGGUCCAAACUCCUACGGGAGGCAGCAGUGAGGAAUAUUGGUCAAUGGACGAGAGUCUGAACCAGCCAAGUAGCGUGCAGGAAGACGGCCCUAUGGGUUGUAAACUGCUUUUAUAAGGGAAUAAAGUGAGUCUCGUGAGACUUUUUGCAUGUACCUUAUGAAUAAGGACCGGCUAAUUCCGUGCCAGCAGCCGCGGUAAUACGGAAGGUCCGGGCGUUAUCCGGAUUUAUUGGGUUUAAAGGGAGCGUAGGCCGGAGAUUAAGCGUGUUGUGAAAUGUAGACGCUCAACGUCUGCACUGCAGCGCGAACUGGUUUCCUUGAGUACGCACAAAGUGGGCGGAAUUCGUGGUGUAGCGGUGAAAUGCUUAGAUAUCACGAAGAACUCCGAUUGCGAAGGCAGCUCACUGGAGCGCAACUGACGCUGAAGCUCGAAAGUGCGGGUAUCGAACAGGAUUAGAUACCCUGGUAGUCCGCACGGUAAACGAUGGAUGCCCGCUGUUGGUCUGAAUAGGUCAGCGGCCAAGCGAAAGCAUUAAGCAUCCCACCUGGGGAGU